Molecule: long non-coding RNA, 2504 nt
Organism: Gallus gallus (chicken)
Lineage: Eukaryota; Metazoa; Chordata; Aves; Galliformes; Phasianidae
Exons: 2
Source: RefSeq, a predicted model, not a curated record
UGGGAGGGAUGCUCAGGGUGGGAGGUCACCAUUGGGGCGGGAGCGUGCUGGCAAAACCAAGGGAGGGGCUGGCAGAGCACGGGGCUGCAGAACAGGUUUGGUUUCAAAACCUGCUGUGAUUUCAUUAAACAGCACAUGAGUGCUCUGAAAAGUUCAGAACCUAAUUACUGCAUGUGUGCUCCGAGGGGCUUUGCGUUUGGCGCAGGAUUUCUGUAGGUGGGGGAAGCUCAGGCCCUGUUCAGCAGCAGCGCCCUCUGGCUCCCUGCCCAGAGCUUUGUUCAGGUUGGAUAUUAGGAACAAUUUCUUCUCAGAAAGAGCGGUGAUGCUGUGGUGUAGCUGCCCGGCGAAGUGAUGGGGUCAUCAUCACUGGAGGUGUUUGAGAACCGUGGAGAUGUGGCACUGUGGGUCGUGGUCAGUGGGCACGGUGGGGGUGGGCUGGCGUUGGAUGACCAGUGAGGGUGACGGAGGGUGACUUGUGCUGUCCCCAGGUGCUCUGUUCUGCACCUCCUGAUUCACACCACUGCCUUUGCAUAAUGCACAUAAAAACCCACCAGCAACAACGCGCCAACCCGUCAGAAACUGGGCUUGUCAGCACCAGUGCAAGGAUGGAUUGUUUCCUUCAUUCCAGUGAGUGCCGAGCGAGUGCUGAACUCCAAAUGCUUUCGCUUUUGUGUUUUGUGUCGCUGGGGUGUUUGUGCUGACUCAGGACAGACUGCGAUAAUAAUAAUAAGAGGUUUAAAUACUUAAUGUUAACCAUUCUGCUGGCUGGGUGAGGACAUUGUGUUUUACAGAAAGCUGUGGCAGGGCACAGUUUGCAGAGCGCUGUGGGGUGUUUUUCUCUUUAAAUGCUAAAGGUGGGACACUUGUUUGCAUGCUUUUAGCACAUAAAUGCUUGUUGUGAGUGGUGGCAUUUGUUUCUUUCACACAUCUGGGCUAGAGGAGCAGCACGGAGGCAGUAACACUCACGUAUGGGGCACACAGAGCUGUUUCUCUGGGCAGGAACGCACACUGUGCACACCGUGACCGUGCUCCACACCUCCCAUGCUCUUCCCAUCACCUCCUGCAUGGAUGAGACUUCCUUCAGGCCUGAAAAUCCUGUUGUGCAGGGGUGAGACAAGUUUCCCCGUUUCCAAAAUGCCGGGAGGAAAGCGUCAGCCUCCCAGCCAAGAAGUGGCAAAGGGACAGCACAGGGAUGCAGCACAGCUGGAUAGGAGCCAGAGCAGCUUACAUAGGAUGAGGCUCUGCAUAGGAUAAGGUUCUGGGCUGCGUUUCCGCACCUGUGCAGCCCUGCUCCUGCCUGGCUCAUCUGCAUGCAGCACCCUUCAGAGUUGGCCCAAGGAAUGACUUUUACACCUCAGUACGUGCAAACAGCACGCAGGGAUCGUUUGCAUCACACGCCUCCCUGCCUGUCAACAAGCACGACAGCUUCCUGGAAUUUUUACCUCCUUUGCAUCAUCCUGUUUCUCUGUGCAGCUGCCAGGUUUCUCUGUUUGCGGCACGCAGUUCAGAGCCGGCUCUGCUAAGCAAAGGGAGGGAGGGAGGUGGUGCAGGAGGUGGCUGUGCUCACGGCUGUAACGCACACCUUUCCAUUCAGCUCUCUGCAGGAGCUCCGUGCCUGCUUUCUCUCUGGUGGCCACAGCACUUUGCCACACUGCUCCGUGCUGGGCAGACAGCAGUCACAUCAAUUACAGCAUCGUUCCUGAGCCCCGAAACUCAGCUGCUCCUCGGUAAGGAGGAUAAGCUGUAGGCAAGGUUGGGGAAUUGAAGAAAGCUUUAAUAUUUUCCUUUAAAGAAAACUUUAAUAUUUUCCUUUCUGAGUCAUACAGACUGUGCCCGGGGCAUCGUCGUUCCUAGAGGAACGUGUUGGCUGUCGCAUGGACGGGGCAGACAGUGCUGCGAUGUAAUGCUAUCCCAGUGCUCAUGUAACUGGGCUUCUGCCCGGCGUCCUGGAGACAGGAGAGGAAGGAGGGCAGCCCUGAUGGGUAUCUGGCUUGUAUCAUUCAUAGAGACACCUUGGCCAUGAGGUGGGCAGAGCACUGUCACACACACAGUCUUGGAACAGGUCCUGUAGAAAACACAUGGAGAUGCCCUCAUCCACGGGUAUGGAUGAGCAAACGCUGAGGGACGGCUGCAGCCCCUCCAUCUACAGGAGCAGCAUUUCUGCCCAUGCCUUCUGCCCAUGCUGUUUGCCCCCUGGCCUUCGGAUUCCAGGUGCCCACACAGCACAGCUUUGGAGGGCUCAGGAUGCUGUUUCUCCGUGGAUUCAUCACCCCGAAGCCCCUUCUGAUGGAUCUGCUGGAGGAAAUUGCAGGUGUCCCUUCACAAUCAGCCCAGCACUGCUGCUCUGUGGAUGUUACGAAUGCACUGCAGUUGGGUUUGGAGAAUAAAGGCCCCUCUCUGCUUUCCCGAAAGAGCAAACGUGGGAGUCUGAGGAGAAGGCGUUUGCAGAGGAGAAAAGAGUGCUGUGCAGGAGUGCAGGAUGGGUACACUGAGUCGUUCUUACG